GACGAACGCUGGCGGCGUGCUUAACACAUGCAAGUCGAGCGGUAAGGCCCUUUCGGGGGUACGACGAGCGGCGAACGGGUGAGUAACACGUGGGUGACCUGCCCUCAGCUCUGGGAGUAAGCCUGGGAAACCGGGUCUAAUACCGGAUAUGACUCCAUGACGCAUGUUGUGGGGUGGAAAGCCUUGUGCGGCUGAGGGUGGGCCCGCGGCCUAUCAGCUUGUUGGGUGGGGUGAUGGCCACCAAGGCGACGACGGGUAGCCGGCCUGAGAGGGCGACCGGCCACACUGGGGACGUGAGACACGGCCCACGACUCCUACGGGAGGGCAGCAGUGGGGAAGUCUUGCGCAAUGGGCGAAAGCCUGACGCAGCGACGCCGCGUGAGGGAUGACGGCCUGUGU
Molecule: ribosomal RNA, 399 nt
Filed under: uncultured bacterium
Lineage: Bacteria
Description: bacterial SSU rRNA
Rfam family: Bacterial small subunit ribosomal RNA
Source: RNAcentral